AAUCUUUCGGAAAGCCAUGCCCGCUGUGAUGUGGCAACGUGGAAACUUUGUUUAACACUGGUUCUAGAUAACUUGAAGUUAAUUUAAUUAAAACUUGCCAACUGUGUGCGUAACCGUGACUGUCUCUUUCGUGAGUUCCUUCUCUGAUCGAGGACACGGUGGGGUUAUGUCUGACGUAGGUAGGUGUUCAGGAUCAUUCAUUUGAUCAUCAGUAGUCACGUCUGUUAUGCAUAGACCUUCCCCCUCUUAUUUCUUGUACUCGUAAGUUUAGCCACCAAAUAUAUGC
Molecule: long non-coding RNA, 286 nt
Filed under: Hordeum vulgare
Lineage: Eukaryota; Viridiplantae; Streptophyta; Magnoliopsida; Poales; Poaceae
Description: long non-coding RNA (HVUL_LNC020061)
Source: RNAcentral